Molecule: ribosomal RNA, 305 nt
Filed under: uncultured bacterium
Lineage: Bacteria
Description: bacterial SSU rRNA
Rfam family: Bacterial small subunit ribosomal RNA
Source: RNAcentral
UUUUCCUACGGGAGGCAGCAGUGAGGAAUAUUGGUCAAUGGGCGGAAGCCUGAACCAGCCAAGUCGCGUGAGGGAAUAAGGCCCUACGGGUCGUAAACCUCUUUUGCCGGGGAGCAAGGGCGGGGACGUGUCCCGGCCCGGAGAGUACCCGGAGAAAAAGCAUCGGCUAACUCCGUGCCAGCAGCCGCGGUAAUACGGAGGAUGCGAGCGUUAUCCGGAUUUAUUGGGUUUAAAGGGUGCGUAGGCGGUUUGAUAAGUUAGAGGUGAAAUGUCGGGGCUCAACCCCGAAACUGCCUCUAAUACUG